CCCUUAGAUGUCCUGGGCCGCACGCGCGCUACACUGAUGCAUGCAACGAGUUUAUAACCUUGGCCUGAAAGGUCUGGGUAAUCUUUUGAACGUGCAUCGUGAUAGGGAUAGACUAUUGCAAUUAUUGGUCUUCAACGAGGAAUUCCUAGUAGACGUAGUUCAUCAGACUGCAUCGAUUACGUCCCUGCCCUUUGUACACACCGCCCGUCGCUCCUACCGAUUGAAUGCUCAGGUGAGCCAUUCGGACUUUCAUCAUGCUGGUUUCCAGUUUUGAUGAAGGAAAGUCUUGCGAACCUUAUCAUUUAGAGGAAGGAGAAGUCGUAACA
Molecule: ribosomal RNA, 326 nt
Filed under: uncultured eukaryote
Lineage: Eukaryota
Description: partial 18S ribosomal RNA
Rfam family: Eukaryotic small subunit ribosomal RNA
Source: RNAcentral